GGCAUGAGAGAUACAUGCAAGAACAAAUCCUCUUUUGUAACCCAGAACUCAUUGCUCAGUGUGAGUUCUGAUAAAUAGAAGAUGGAUUAUG
RNAcentral lists this small nucleolar RNA (91 nucleotides) under Nannospalax galili (Upper Galilee mountains blind mole rat). Its description in RNAcentral is "Small nucleolar RNA SNORA40 (ENSNGAG00000007215.1)". It matches the Rfam family "Small nucleolar RNA SNORA40". From Rfam's summary of the family: The snoRNA ACA 40 belongs to the H/ACA family of snoRNAs and guides the pseudouridylation of 28S rRNA subunit at position U4565. NB This family has a high threshold value to exclude a large number of closely related sequences that do not appear to have conserved H and ACA boxes, and may be pseudogenes. The record is from Rfam by way of RNAcentral. Lineage: Eukaryota; Metazoa; Chordata; Mammalia; Rodentia; Spalacidae.